AAAGAACGAUAGCCACGGAGGAUAUCUGAAGUGAGAAUCAUAUGCUUCUAGUAGAGCUUCAUUUGUGUAGUCCAUAAGGAGUUUAGGCUCGGAAUGGCAUUGUAGUGCUAAUGUCUCUAGUUCAUCGGAUAGCAUUGCAUCGAGCAUUUGUUCUGAAAGAUGCCUAUUUAGCCAAAGUUCUUCCCAAUUCAAGUGAAGAGUAUGCAAACUUGACUGAAUGUAAGU
This 225-nucleotide unclassified non-coding RNA is filed under the name Hevea brasiliensis (rubber tree). The record is from RNAcentral. Lineage: Eukaryota; Viridiplantae; Streptophyta; Magnoliopsida; Malpighiales; Euphorbiaceae.